CAUGGAGGGUGAGAAUCCCGUUCGGUUGACCUUAUGACGCUCUACGAUACGCUCUCUAAGAGUCGAGUUGUUUGGGAUUGCAGCUCAAAAUGGGAGGUAAAUUUCUCCUAAGGCUAAAUAUCGGCGAGAGACCGAUAGCGAACAAGUACCGUGAGGGAAAGAUGAAAAGAACUUUGAAAAGAGAGUAAAAUAGUACGUGAAAUUGUUGAAAGGGAAACGAUUGAAGUCAGUCGUACCGACGAGAAAUCAACUUAUCGUGUGCGAACUUGUGGGCGUGCGUGAGUUUCGGCCUCGCUGUUUGCAUGUUUGUGCGUUUUGGGUGUACUUUUUCGUAUGGUAGGCCAACGUCAGUUUCGAUUAUCAUAAAAUGACCGGCGGAAUGUAGCUUCGAUUUCGGUUGAAGUGUUAUAGCCUCUGGUAGAUGUGGUGAUAGAGACUGAGGAUUGCAACGAAUACCCUUUGGGCUAUCCGUCUGGCCUCUGAAAGUUGCUCAGGUGCCGAAAGCGUGCUUACGGUUAUCUAAGAUAACGUUCAACAGGUUAGAACGUGAUUACAUUCGUUAAGGAUGUUGACGUAAUGG
RNAcentral lists this ribosomal RNA (580 nucleotides) under uncultured Glomus. RNAcentral's name for it is "eukaryotic LSU rRNA". It matches the Rfam family "Eukaryotic large subunit ribosomal RNA", at positions 204 to 637 of the family's 3401-position model. Lineage: Eukaryota; Fungi; Glomeromycota; Glomeromycetes; Glomerales; Glomeraceae. The record is from RNAcentral.